Molecule: ribosomal RNA, 253 nt
Filed under: uncultured bacterium
Lineage: Bacteria
Description: partial 16S ribosomal RNA
Rfam family: Bacterial small subunit ribosomal RNA
Source: RNAcentral
UACGGAGGGUGCGAGCGUUGUCCGGAAUCAUUGGGCGUAAAGAGCGUGUAGGCGGCUUGGUAAGUCCGCUGUGAAAACUCGAGGCUCAACCUCGAGACGUCGGUGGAAACCGUUUGGCUAGAGUCCGGAAGAGGAGAGUGGAAUUCCCGGUGUAGCGGUGAAAUGCGCAGAUAUCGGGAAGAACACCCGUGGCGAAGGCGGCUCUCUGGGACGGUACUGACGCUGAGACGCGAAAGCGUGGGGAGCGAACAGG